GAUGAACGCUGGCGGCGUGCUUAACACAUGCAAGUCGAACGGGAUCGGCUGGAGCUUGCUCCGGCCGUGAGAGUGGCGAACGGGUGAGUAAUGCGUGACCGACCUGCCCCAUACACCGGAAUAGCUCCUGGAAACGGGUGGUAAUGCCGGAUGCUCCAGUUGGAUGCAUGUCCUUCUGGGAAAGAUUCUAUCGGUAUGGGAUGGGGUCGCGUCCUAUCAGGUAGUCGGCGGGGUAACGGCCCACCGAGCCUACGACGGGUAGCCGGCCUGAGAGGGCGACCGGCCACAUUGGGACUGAGAUACGGCCCAGACUCCUACGGGAGGCAGCAGUGGGGAAUAUUGCACAAUGGGCGCAAGCCUGAUGCAGCGACGCCGCGUGCGGGAUGACGGCCUUCGGGUUGUAAACCGCUUUUGACUGGGAGCAAGCCCU
RNAcentral lists this ribosomal RNA (430 nucleotides) under uncultured bacterium. RNAcentral describes it as "bacterial SSU rRNA". It matches the Rfam family "Bacterial small subunit ribosomal RNA", at positions 28 to 454 of the family's 1533-position model. The record is from RNAcentral.